This is a small nuclear RNA of Cynocephalus volans (Philippine flying lemur), 106 nucleotides long. The record is from RefSeq and is a predicted model, not a curated record. Lineage: Eukaryota; Metazoa; Chordata; Mammalia; Dermoptera; Cynocephalidae.
GUGCUCACUUCAGCAGCACAUACACUAAAAUUGGAAUGUACAAAGAAGAUUAGGGUGGCCCCCACACAAGGAUGACAUGGAAAUUCAUGAAGCAUUCCAUAUUUUC